GGGGGGGGGGGGGGGGGGGGGGGGGGGGGGGGGGGGGGGCGGAGGGGGGGGGCGGUGGGGGGGUGCGCGAGUGGCGAACGGGUGGGUAAAACGGGAGUAACCUGCCCGUGGCUUUGGGAGCACGUCAGGAAACUGGGGCUAAUACCGGAUAGGAGCUCAUGCUGCAUGGUGGGGGUUGGAAAGUUUCGGCGGUUGGGGAUGGACUCGCGGCUUAUGAGCUUGGUGGUGGGGUAGUGGGGUACCACGGCUUUGACGGGUAGCCGGCCUGAGAGGGUGACCGGCCACAUUGGGACUGAGAUACGGCCCAGACUCCUACGGGAGGCAGCAGUGGGGAAUAUUGCACAAUGGGCGGAAGCCUGAUGCAGCAACGCCGCGUGCGGGAUGACGGCCUUCGGGUUGUAAACCGCUUUCGCCUGUGACGAAGCGUGAGUGACGGUAAUGGGUAAAGAAGCACCGGCUAACUACGUG
Molecule: ribosomal RNA, 468 nt
Filed under: uncultured bacterium
Lineage: Bacteria
Description: partial 16S ribosomal RNA
Rfam family: Bacterial small subunit ribosomal RNA (bases 52-468)
Source: RNAcentral